Molecule: ribosomal RNA, 751 nt
Filed under: uncultured soil archaeon
Lineage: Archaea
Description: bacterial SSU rRNA
Rfam family: Archaeal small subunit ribosomal RNA
Source: RNAcentral
GAUAAUCUCGGGAAACUGAGGAUAAUACCCCAUAGUCCACCUAUGCUGGAAUGCUUGGUGGACCAAAGCUCCGGCGCUUCAGGAUGGCACUGCGAACUAUCAGGUAGUAGGGAGGGUAACGGCCUCCCUAGCCUACGACGGAUACGGGCGUUGAGAGACGUCGCCCGGAGAUGAACUCUGAGACACGAGUUCAGGCCCUACGGGGCGCAGCAGGCGCGAAAACUUCGCAAUGCUGGAAACAGCGACGGGGUAACUCCAAGUGCCGGCACUAAGUGUCGGCUGUUCCAUUGUCUAAAAAACAUAGGAAGUAAGGGCUGGGUAAGACGGGUGCCAGCCGCCGCGGUAAUACCUGCAGCCCGAGUGGUGGCCGUUAUUAUUGGGCCUAAAACGUCCGUAGCCGGUUGGGUAGAUGCCUGUGUAAAUCGAACGGCUUAACCGUUCGAAUUGCGGGUAGACCGCCCGACUAGGGACCGGGAGAGUCACGAAGUACUCCGGGGGUAGAGGUGAAAUUCUGUAAUCCUCGGGGGACUACCGGUGGCGAAGGCGUCGUGAUAGAACGGCUCCGACGGUGAGGGACGAAGCCCUGGGGCGCAAACCGGAUUAGAUACCCGGGUAGUCCAGGGUGUAAACGCUGUGGUCUUGGUGUCGGCAGUCCUACGGGGGCAGCCGGUGCCGGAGAGAAGUUGUUAAGACCACUGCCUGGGGAGUACGGCCGCAAGGUUGAAACUUAAAGGAAUUGGCGGGGGAGCAC